This 757-nucleotide ribosomal RNA is filed under the name uncultured bacterium. RNAcentral describes it as "bacterial SSU rRNA". It matches the Rfam family "Bacterial small subunit ribosomal RNA", at positions 8 to 796 of the family's 1533-position model. The record is from RNAcentral.
AGAGUUUGAUCAUGGCUCAGAAUCAACGCUGGCGGCGCGCCUAACACAUGCAAGUCGAACGAGAAAGUGGAGCAAUCCAUGAGUAAAGUGGCGUACGGGUGAGUAACACGUGGAUCAUCUGCCUUUUAGUGAGGAAUAACCAUGGGAAACCGUGGCUAAUACCGCAUAAGCCCGAGAGGGGAAAGUCGAAAGACGCUGAAAGAGGAGUCCGCGGCCGAUUAGCUAGUUGGUAGGGUAAAGGCCUACCAAGGCAAAGAUCGGUAGCCGGCCUGAGAGGGCACACGGCCACACUGGCACUGAAACACGGGCCAGACUCCUACGGGAGGCAGCAGUGGGGAAUCUUGCACAAUGGGGGAAACCCUGAUGCAGCGACGCCGCGUGAGCGAUGAAGCCCUUCGGGGUGUAAAGCUCUUUCGGCAGGGAAGAUUAUGACGGUACCUGCAGAAGCAGCUGCGGCUAACUACGUGCCAGCAGCCGCGGUAAUACGUAGGCAGCGAGCGUUGUUCGGAGUUACUGGGCGUAAAGGGUGUGUAGGCGGUUGUUUAAGUUUGGUGUGAAAUCUCCCGGCUCAACUGGGAGGGUGCGCCGAAUACUGAAUGACUUCGAGUGCGGGAGAGGAAAGUGGAAUUCCUGGUGUAGCGGUGAAAUGCGUAGAUAUCAGGAGGAACACCGGUGGUGUAGACGGCUUUCUGGACCGUAACUGACGCUGAGACACGAAAGCGUGGGUAGCAAACAGGAUUAGAUACCCCUGUAGUCC